This is a long non-coding RNA of Cervus elaphus (red deer), 1381 nucleotides long. RefSeq lists it as uncharacterized. The record is from RefSeq and is a predicted model, not a curated record. The transcript has 5 exons. NCBI's taxonomy places the organism in Eukaryota, Metazoa, Chordata, Mammalia, Artiodactyla, Cervidae.
GAGAGUUCCCCUGAGAGCUGGCAGAGUCAGGAGAACCCUAACUGUAAGUAGAACGCGAUCCCCAUUUCUGCUCGGCUGUGGUUUGAGGCCUCCAACCACGCUGCCUGCGUGUACAUUCAGGAACAGAGCUCCUGCAUGCUCAGAGAGGCGGAGAGUCAAGCCAAGUUUGUAAGACACAAAAUGAGACACGCAAGAAGGAAGUAAUGCCCCUGGGAGAAGGGGGAUCAACAACCCAUGGGCAGCUCAAAACCAUGUUUUCACCAGAGUCUGGAUUGGAAAGAUAAGGACAGUGUAAAAUUAUACCUUCCCUUCUCAGCCAGACAAUACAGAGGUUUGGAGAGCUGACCCAGGUUCAUAUUCCACCAUUUCCCAUGCAUCUCUGAACUUCAGGAAGCCAGGUUUAAGACAGCAUGGAUGGACUCCUCUGUCCUCCUGUUCUUUGUUGUGUUCGGUCAGUUGGAUGCUCUGCAAGAUCUGCACUGGAGCAAAGAGAGUUCAGUGUAUCUUCUACCACAGUUCUCUCUGUGACAAGCUGCCUGCCAUGAGAUAGCCCUCCUGUUCUUCACCCAAGACCACCUGCCAUCCUCUGACUCAGUCUGUGGGUCCCUUCACUUCAGCAUCAGUUACUUUGGAUAAAUGCCCUCCUCUACAGAGAGUGACCCUGGUAGACUGCCAACCACCAGACCCACAAGAGGCAAAAAUGCGAAGAACAGUAACUGGCACAGAGCAAAGGGAUAUGUUAAGUAUUUGUUAGAUUAAUUCUAGAAAAUGAAUGUGUGGAAUUAUUCUGAGGGUUCCACAGACUCAGCACAAACUAACUUCUCACCCUUCCCUGGUUUUCCCUGGUAAGGAGGUAUGUGGUGGAGAAGUGGGACACUGAUGUAUGAGACCAAGAGAUUGGAGUACACACUGAUAAACAGAGAAAUUGUGAGCGCUGAUCUACCUGAAAUUCUACAGCUAAAGGAGACAUGUGUGCUAAGUUGCUUCAGUGGUGCCUGACUCUUUGCAACUCUAUGGACUGUAGCCCACCAGGCUCCUCUGUCCGUGGGGAUUCUCUUGGUUGCCUUUCCUACUGCAGGGGAUCUUCGCGACCAGGGAUCGAACCCAAUCUCCUAUGUCUCCUGCACCGACAGGAGAGUUCUUUACCACUAGCAUCGCUUGGGAAGCCCCAACUAAAGGAGGAUGCUCCUUCAAAUUGAUCUGAGGGAAACUAUAUUUGUCUGCCUAAAGUCUUACUCCAGUAUCAACCAGAUUCUUACUGGGAAGUACCAGCCAGAUAGUGGAAGUCAAAGUACCUCCAUGUCUCUUUUCUAUAUUAGGUAAGUUCUCUUGGCAGCAGUUUUCAGCAGUAUGGCAGCAGUAUGUCUUCAAUUUCCACAAU